RNA transcript from Ixodes scapularis (black-legged tick), 3530 nucleotides. It is a transcript of the gene named zinc finger protein 79-like, with no coding region annotated. Lineage: Eukaryota; Metazoa; Arthropoda; Arachnida; Ixodida; Ixodidae. The record is from RefSeq and is a predicted model, not a curated record. The transcript is spliced from 2 exons.
GCCGGAGUUUGCAGCCCUGCUAUCCUGGACAGCAGCCUGCUCCGAUGCCCGUGGGCGCAGCGAUGGACGGGGUUGACUCUGGCAACCAUUGCAAGAUGUGACAAAGCCAGGCUAGAUCCAGCGCUGCUGAGAUCCCCCGAUACAAAGGGGUUAGCCCCAAAUCCAAUCCAAUCCAAUCCAAUGGCACAUUGUUGCUUUGCAGAGACACUUGUUCUCGCUGGCCAUCUCAGCUUUUGGGAACAUGCAUUUUUUGUGCAGUGUUCUUGCUUAUACCAGUCCAGCAUCAUUGAAAAGAGAGUGUCUCCUAGUGCAUCAAAUGGAUCACAGUUAUUUAGAUGAGAACAAGCAGUUGACCUACGUGAUCGCAUUCGCCACCACUCAUUUGUGCAAAACAAAACCAUUGUGAUGUGGUUGUCUUGCAACUCAUGCUCUUGCCUGGUGCUUGAGGCUACAAGAUAUCGACAACUGUUUUGUUGAUUGCAUCUUUGCACCGGAAGCAGUGCUUGCAUACUUAAAUAGUGUGUGAUUUUUCAUUGAUUUACUGUGACUGACUCUACAAUGACAUUUUGUAGAACAUUAUUACAAUGAACCUAUGUCACUAGAUGGUACCUCCACAGUACCAUAUAGCAUUCACUGCAGCCUUAUAUAUGCCAUAGCAAUUCAAAAACCCAGAAAAUAGGCUCGCCUAUUGUUGCUUCAAUGAAAGAUUAGGUGCACGUGAAAAGUUUUCUGCUUGAAGGGGCUAUGCGCAUCAAUUUUUUUAUUAACUUAACGUGUGAUAUCACAUGAAUGUAAUGACAGUCUUUUUUUCUGCUUUGUUUUUUUCCGGAGUUUGUUUUCUUUGUUCUUUAAUAGACAGCUGUCGGGACGCUCGUUUUGUGUGGACUACUUUCUGCUGAAGGCAUUGCAGAUUUGCCAAGCUUGUUUAAUGUUUGCAUCGGACUUUGUCAUUUAACCUCUUUGUCUUGGCUUCCCCAUCAGUGCCAGCUGAAGCAGACGACGGGGACGGCGGGAGCGACUCCUCUUCCCCUAGAAGUGAACUGGUUGAGUCGCUACCCACGAUGCGGCCCCGAUGUGAGGGCAUGUACCGCUGCGAGUUCUGCCCUUACUCCAGUAGUUAUCUGCAAUCUGUCAUCAACCACGAAAGAACACACACGGGAGAGAAACCAUUCAGUUGCGAGGUUUGCCAGAAGGCGUUCGCCAGAAAUGAUAUCCUGGCGAAACACAAGAGGGUCCAUACGGGCGAGAAACCGUACCAGUGUGGCACCUGUGAAAAAAACUUUUCACAGAGAAAUAACAUGUUGCGUCAUGAGAGAACCCACAAGUAUGAAGCCUGUGAUAAAAAUGUUUAUACACAUGGGCAAUAUAUGUGGGCAUAAAAAAAAAGCAUGUGAGUGAGGAAUCGGCACCAUGCAAUAUCUUGAGGUUGUUUGUGUGGAAGUGUUCAUGUUUUACCGUGUGCUUCACUGCCUGUAUGUUGUUUGUUCGCCUGGAGUUAUGAAACGGGCAUAUUCAUCAGUUCUAAAGAUUCUCAGUUGCAGUUAGGCAGCAGCCGCAGUACUGCUAAGUAUUAUGUUUUUUUUUAAUGGCCUUAUUUAAAGGGGUAGGGAAACGAAAUUCCAGCGCUCAUUUUCCAGCUUGAGUGUGUUGCAUGUUGCACCCUAACCUCAAAAACACCAGUCUUCCAUUGAAAUUAAGGCACAAGAAAACUAAUUUUAAAGCUAAAUGAAUGAUAUUUCAAUGUGCACCUGGUGGAUGCAUGCGGAGCCUAUUUGGGAGGUAGUCUAGCAACUUUGUGGAAUCUGCUACGUAGUUGUGACAUAGCAUUCCUUCGGAGCAGCGCCGCUCUUCGGCAUUUCAACAUUUUCCCUCUUAGCUUUCCUCCUCAACUCACUAGUCGCGCAUCGUAUUAAACGGUCCAAGGCGACGGAAAGGAAGGACUCCCCUCUUUCUCGGACCCUCGUUCGUGCAACCGGAAACAACCACUCUCCCCCUAGAAGAUUAGCCCGUUGCUCAAAACUCGAACAAAAGUUGCUUUCCUGACCCCGUUCAGCCCUAAGCUCACAGUGUUGUGGAAGCUACGUGCUCCUUGGGCCAGCCACACGCUCAUCACCCCACGACGGCUCGGUUGUAACGCGCUGACGCUAUUGACACCACUACAACGCUGACAACGCCACCAAGGGCAAAGCUCAUAACCACGCCAGCCUUGGUACGUCACGAAUGCGGGGAAUUUUUCUUUCUGUUUUUCUUUGCACCGGAUAUCCCAUGACGCAUUGCGCUCUCGGUUCGCUUCUUUUCGAGUGCUUGCUCAAGUGCACCGUUUAGAACGUAAAAUAUAUCAAGUCGUUCAAAAUACAAAUGUGUGAUUAUCAUUUACGGUUAUUAUCCGUCAUGCUUGACUCAUUUCCGAGCGAAAUUUGAAUAUUUCAAUUUUUGUUUCCGUACCCCUUUAAUAGACGGGGUUCGCACGGGUCCUUGAAAACCUUGAAUUUGAAAACGGCAUUUUCCAGACCUUGAAAAUAUGGAAUUUUUAGCAGUGCUUGAAAACCGUUAAAUUUCCCUGUGAUCGUUUUUUUUUCCCCUUUGGAGUAAUUAAUUUUUGUUGCAAUAAUAAAAUAUAAUUAUUAGUUUUAUGUGCAUGUCAACAAAUUUCAAAAUUCCGACGAGGAAAGUUUUUUAUAGGGCAUAUUUACACACGUUUAGCAGAUGCCCGUUAAGCACCUGGCCACAAUGGUUGCUGAUCUGACAGCUUCAUCCAAUCACUUCGCUGAGAAAGCAGAGGCAACAGGUGACUUCACCUACAUUGUCAAGCCGGAGAGCCUAAGGAAAAUGGCGAAAACCAAGAUUCACAAACUUCUAGUCGUCAACCACGAAAUCAAGGAAGAGCUGCAGUAACUCUACUGAACCCUUUACUAGCACCAUUUUUUUGGCAAAUGUGCAUUUUCCUAGGUAUCAUGCAAUAAAAAAAAUAUUUUGUGGUGUAUUUUAAAAAUCUUUACAUUAUAAAUUUACUACAUAAAAUAUUUAAAGGUGUCCUUGAAAAUAUCUUUUCAGGCCCUUAAAAGUCCUUGAAAACCCUUGAAGUUUUUCUUUUGAGUUGAGAGUUUGGAGUUUAGCAGCUUUGAACAUUGGGAUCAUUUUUGUUUUACGACGUCUACUUUGAACUUAAUUUUGUGGGGAUGAGGAGCAUUGGGGUUUAUUAAGGCACCUUGAAUCUUAUGUAUAGAUUAUUGUGCCAACAUUUUGAAAAGAGAUUUUUCCUAAAUUCUUUGGAUUUACUUAUAUUUUAACCCUGUUUUGUCACUUUGCUCCUGAUGAAUUGUGUUCCUGAGGUUGUAAAAAGAAAGGUGUCAAUUACUGUACUCCUCCAUUCUUUGUGGAUUCAGUGAAUCACAAAUAAACUACUUUCCUCUACAAGUCAUUGCCUUACUGCCCUAGCCACUGUUGAUGAGUAUUCUACAAUCAACGAGCUAUAUACCAAGUAAGCUUUGGUUUCAACCUUUUGUUGCGCCUGAUCUUUGCCAGCUGAC